RNAcentral lists this ribosomal RNA (241 nucleotides) under uncultured bacterium. RNAcentral describes it as "partial 16S ribosomal RNA". It matches the Rfam family "Bacterial small subunit ribosomal RNA", at positions 15 to 236 of the family's 1533-position model. The record is from RNAcentral.
GAUCAUGGCUCAGGAUGAACGCUGGCGGCGUGCUUAACACAUGCAAGUCGAACGAAGCAUUUAAGACAGAUUUUUUCGGAAUGAAGUUUUUUAUGACUGAGUGGCGGACGGGUGAGUAACGCGUGGGUAACCUGCCUCACACAGGGGGAUAGCAGUUGGAAACGACUGGUAAUACCGCAUAAGCGCACAGCUUCGCAUGAAGCGGUGUGAAAAACUCCGGUGGUGUGAGAUGGACCCGCGU